UAGGACCAGCUCAUAUGUUGCGUUAUCUGUAUCUGUUGGGGUAACUUGCAUGCGUGUUAGAAUCGGAGGCUGUCAGUUUGCAGUCAGCAACCUGGGUCUGCUGGGCACAAUGCAGGUGUGUGUUCCUCCCUGGGCCCCCAAGUAACGAGCAUGCGGCAAGGCUGUUACAAAGGCGUUUAGUUUAUUCUCAUCAGUAUCACUGAUAUUCUCAUGGUUCACAUUUGCCAACGCCGCUCCUCUCCUUACAGUAGUUAAAUGUGCAAUCUCACUUGGGGGCCCAGGGAGGGGUGGGGGUUGGGGAGGCAGAUGAGAGGCAGGGAGGACGAGGGCCAGAAACACAAACAAGGAUGUGGAUGUGGAUGGUGAAAUGACACCCUGCAUAGGGGGAUGGGGAGUUAAAAAAGAAAAAAAACUGCCUUCACAUGAAAAUCUAAAACAACAACAAAAAACCACCCACUCUGGGCGAGAACAAAAAGAGAGGAAUGGUAAAAGAGAAAAUUCUGCAAACAACUGCUAACAAUGGAAGUGGACCCGGCCCUGCCCUGCCCUGCCCAGCCCCCAGGAGCUGGGCCCAGCCAACCAGCCAAGGCCUGGGACACCCUUAAACUAUAGCCCUGUUGGGGAAGGUGAACAGGGGAGGGGGACCCACAGGACCCACAGGAGCCUAGGCAGCAGCUGGGACUGGAGUCCUACUGCCUCUUGUAUCUUCAUUU
This 713-nucleotide long non-coding RNA is filed under the name Homo sapiens (human). RNAcentral describes it as "HSALNT0256064". The record is from RNAcentral. Lineage: Eukaryota; Metazoa; Chordata; Mammalia; Primates; Hominidae.